GAUGAACGCUGGCGGCGUGCCUAAUACAUGCAAGUCGAGCGAACAGACGAGGAGCUUGCUCCUCUGAUGUUAGCGGCGGACGGGUGAGUAACACGUGGAUAACCUACCUAUAAGACUGGGAUAACUUCGGGAAACCGGAGCUAAUACCGGAUAACAUGUUGAACCGCAUGGUUCAACAGUGAAAGACGGUCUUGCUGUCACUUAUAGAUGGAUCCGCGCCGCAUUAGCUAGUUGGUAAGGUAACGGCUUACCAAGGCAACGAUGCGUAGCCGACCUGAGAGGGUGAUCGGCCACACUGGAACUGAGACACGGUCCAGACUCCUACGGGAGGCAGCAGUAGGGAAUCUUCCGCAAUGGGCGAAAGCCUGACGGAGCAACGCCGCGAGAGUGAAGAAGGUCUUCGGAUCGUAAAACUCUGUUAUUAGGGAAGAACAAAUGUGUAAGUAACUAUGCACGUCUUGACGGUACCUAAUCAGAAAGCCACGGCUAACUACGUG
Molecule: ribosomal RNA, 497 nt
Filed under: uncultured bacterium
Lineage: Bacteria
Description: partial 16S ribosomal RNA
Rfam family: Bacterial small subunit ribosomal RNA
Source: RNAcentral